Molecule: ribosomal RNA, 592 nt
Filed under: Bolitoglossa gracilis
Lineage: Eukaryota; Metazoa; Chordata; Amphibia; Caudata; Plethodontidae
Description: partial 16S ribosomal RNA
Source: RNAcentral
CUAGCAAGUCCAACCUUACAAAAAGAAUUUAGCAAGAAACCCCGAAACCAAACGAGCUACCAUAAGACAGUACUUAGUUCUGUGGCAAAAGGACCAAAAGAUUUUAUGGUAGAGGCAAAAAACCUAACGAGCUUGGAGAUAGCUGGUUGCUUGAAAAAGAAUUUUAGUUCGCACAAAAACAUUAUUACCACAAUGGAGAGUUUUACUUUUUGUAUUAAUUAACUGAGUUACAGCCCAGUUCAUAAGGGAAACAACCCAAAUUAAUGACUAACGAUUAUGCUUUUUAAGAAUAUGAGCUCAGUAGGCCUAAAAGCAGCCAUCAAAUAAUAGCGUUAAAGCUUGACUCAAAAAACCAUCAAUUAUUUCACUAAACAAUCCUAUUUCAGUAGAAAAAUCAAGCUAAUCUAUUUUUAGAUGAACUACUACUAGAAUUAGUAAUAAGAACUUAUUCUCUAUAAUAUAAGUAUAUAUCAGAACGAACUAAUCGCUGAUAAUUAAUGAAACAUUUACAAAAACAAGAAUUUGAUAUUUAAAAACAUUAACCCAACACAGGAGUAUUUAAGAAAGACUUAAAGCCUAGAAAGGAACUCGG